This 1169-nucleotide ribosomal RNA is filed under the name Actinomyces gerencseriae DSM 6844. RNAcentral describes it as "bacterial LSU rRNA". It matches the Rfam family "Bacterial large subunit ribosomal RNA", at positions 1774 to 2925 of the family's 2925-position model. The record is from RNAcentral. Lineage: Bacteria; Bacillati; Actinomycetota; Actinomycetes; Actinomycetales; Actinomycetaceae.
GGGCCGCAGAGAGCAGGGGGGAGCGACUGUUUACUAAAAACACAGGUCCGUGCGAAGCCGUAAGGCGAUGUAUACGGACUGACGCCUGCCCGGUGCUGGAAGGUUAAGAGGAUCCCUCAGCCCCCUGUGAUGGGGGUGAAGGGGUGAGUUCAAGCCCCAGUAAACGGCGGUGGUAACUAUAACCAUCCUAAGGUAGCGAAAUUCCUUGUCGGGUAAGUUCCGACCUGCACGAAUGGCGUAACGACUUCCCCGCUGUCUCCACCACGGGCUCGGCGAAAUUGCAGUACGAGUAAAGAUGCUCGUUACGCGCAGAAGGACGGAAAGACCCCGGGACCUUCACUACAGCUUGGUAUUGGCGUCCGCCAUGGUUUGUGCAGGAUAGGUGGGAGACGUUGAGGCCGUCGCGUCAGCGGCGGCGGAGUCGUUGUUGAGAUACCACUCUGGCUGUGGCGUGCGCCUGAACCUGGGCCCGUGAUCCGGGUCAGGGACAGUGCCUGGUGGGUAGUUUAACUGGGGCGGUUGCCUCCUAAAAGGUAACGGAGGCGCUCAAAGGUUCCCUCAGCCUGGUCGGCAACCAGGUGGCGAGUGCAAGUGCACAAGGGAGCUUGACUGCGAGACCGACGGGUCGAGCAGGUGCGAAAGCAGGAACUAGUGAUCCGGCGAUCCCGUGUGGAUGGGUCGUCGCUCAACGGAUAAAAGGUACCCCGGGGAUAACAGGCUGAUCCUGCCCAAGAGUCCAUAUCGACGGCAUGGUUUGGCACCUCGAUGUCGGCUCGUCGCAUCCUGGGGCUGGAGCAGGUCCCAAGGGUUGGGCUGUUCGCCCAUUAAAGCGGUACGCGAGCUGGGUUUAGAACGUCGUGAGACAGUUCGGUCCCUAUCCUCUGCGCGCGCAGGAGACUUGAGAAGACCUGUCCCCAGUACGAGAGGACCGGGACGGACGAACCUCUGGUGUGCCAGUUGUCCCGCCCGGGGCACGGCUGGUUGGCUACGUUCGGACAGGGUAACCGCUGAAAGCAUCUAAGCGGGAAACCACCUUCAAGACCAGGUCUCCGCAGCAGCACCCCGUGCUGCUGGAAGGCCCCCAGCAGACCACUGGGUCGAUAGGCCAGACGUGGAAGACCGGCAACGGUCGAAGCCGACUGGUACUAACAGGCCAACACAAACACACA